This 375-nucleotide long non-coding RNA is filed under the name Fukomys damarensis (Damara mole-rat). Its description in RNAcentral is "lncRNA (ENSFDAG00000022276.1)". Lineage: Eukaryota; Metazoa; Chordata; Mammalia; Rodentia; Bathyergidae. The record is from RNAcentral.
UUCCAGGGUACUUGCUAUCCAGAAAAAGUCAUGAUAGUUAAGCUCACUGCUCCUACUGUACUACUGCUGUCACUGAUCUUCUCUUCUGGGUGUUCAACCACCAAAGUGAAGAGAUCAACACUAAAAGCAAGCCACAGAAGAGAAGAGAGAAACAAAUGACUGGAAUCCUGGCAGCUUGGGUUUGACACCUGCACCUUUAGAGGACUCAUGUAUGGAUAAUUCUGCAGUGUCAUUAUUCCAGGCCUGACCAAUGGUAUCUUUGUGAAAUCUUAUUUGAAACAUUUAGAAUAAGGAAUAGGUGCCUAAAAUGGAAGGCUAGCAAAGAAAUUGCAAGCUAAGACUAUUCAAAGCAAUUAAAUAAAAAUGUCAGUGCUG